RNAcentral lists this ribosomal RNA (446 nucleotides) under uncultured bacterium. RNAcentral's name for it is "partial 16S ribosomal RNA". It matches the Rfam family "Bacterial small subunit ribosomal RNA", at positions 338 to 795 of the family's 1533-position model. The record is from RNAcentral.
CCUACGGGUGGCAGCAGUCGAGAAUCAUUCACAAUGGGGGAAACCCUGAUGGUGCGACGCCGCGUGGGGGAAUGAAGGUCUUCGGAUUGUAAACCCCUGUCAUGUGGGAGCAAAUUAAAAAGAUAGUACCACAAGAGGAAGAGACGGCUAACUCUGUGCCAGCAGCCGCGGUAAUACAGAGGUCUCAAGCGUUGUUCGGAAUCACUGGGCGUAAAGCGUGCGUAGGCUGUUUCGUAAGUCGUGUGUGAAAGGCGCGGGCUCAACCCGCGGACGGCACAUGAUACUGCGGGACUAGAGUAAGGGAGGGGGAACCGGAAUUCUCGGUGUAGCAGUGAAAUGCGUAGAUAUCGAGAGGAACACUCGUGGCGAAGGCGGGUUCCUGGACAUUAACUGACGCUGAGGCACGAAGGCCAGGGGAGCGAAAGGGAUUAGAUACCCUAGUAGUC